GAUGAACGCUGGCGGCGUGCCUAAUACAUGCAAGUCGAGCGAACAGACGAGGAGCUUGCUCCUCUGACGUUAGCGGCGGACGGGUGAGUAACACGUGGAUAACCUACCUAUAAGACUGGUAUAACUUCGGGAAACCGGAGCUAAUACCGGAUAAUAUACUGAACCGCAUGGUUCAAUAGUGAAAGACGGUUUUGCUGUCACUUAUAGAUGGAUCCGCGCCGCAUUAGCUAGUUGGUAAGGUAACGGCUUACCAAGGCAACGAUGCGUAGCCGACCUGAGAGGGUGAUCGGCCACCCUGGAACUGAGACACGGUCCAGACUCCUAAGGGAGGCAGCAGUCGGGAAUCUUCCGCAAUGGGCGAAAGCCUGACGGAGCAACGCCGCGUGAGUGAUGAAGGUCUUCGGAUCGUAAAACUCUGUUAUUAGGGAAGAACAAAUGUGUAAGUAACUAUGCACGUCUUGACGGUAACUAAUCAGAAAGCAACGGCUAACUACGUG
RNAcentral lists this ribosomal RNA (497 nucleotides) under uncultured bacterium. Its description in RNAcentral is "partial 16S ribosomal RNA". It matches the Rfam family "Bacterial small subunit ribosomal RNA", at positions 28 to 507 of the family's 1533-position model. The record is from RNAcentral.